This 578-nucleotide ribosomal RNA is filed under the name Nocardioides sp. I14A-01107. Its description in RNAcentral is "bacterial SSU rRNA". It matches the Rfam family "Bacterial small subunit ribosomal RNA", at positions 95 to 687 of the family's 1533-position model. The record is from RNAcentral. Lineage: Bacteria; Bacillati; Actinomycetota; Actinomycetes; Propionibacteriales; Nocardioidaceae. RNAcentral also lists the same sequence under 1 other name.
GCGGCGAACGGGUGAGUAACACGUGAGUAAUCUGCCCCUCACUUCGGGAUAAGCCUCGGAAACGGGGUCUAAUACCGGAUACGACACAGACCUGCAUGGGUUCUGUGUGGAAAGUUUUUCGGUGGGGGAUGUGCUCGCGGCCUAUCAGCUUGUUGGUGGGGUAAUGGCCUACCAAGGCUUCGACGGGUAGCCGGCCUGAGAGGGUGACCGGCCACACUGGGACUGAGACACGGCCCAGACUCCUACGGGAGGCAGCAGUGGGGAAUAUUGGACAAUGGGCGGAAGCCUGAUCCAGCAACGCCGCGUGAGGGAUGACUGCCUUCGGGUUGUAAACCUCUUUCAGUGGGGACGAAGCGCAAGUGACGGUACCCACAGAAGAAGCACCGGCCAACUACGUGCCAGCAGCCGCGGUAAUACGUAGGGUGCGAGCGUUGUCCGGAAUUAUUGGGCGUAAAGGGCUCGUAGGCGGUUUGUCGCGUCGGGAGUGAAAACACCGGGCUUAACUCGGUGCUGGCUUUCGAUACGGGCAGACUAGAGGUAUUCAGGGGAGAACGGAAUUCCUGGUGUAGCGGUGAAAU